CCGGCCGGCGUAGCGUAAUCUCUCAUAAGUAGAAGCAAGAAGCAGAUGCUUUAAUUGCGUAAACGGCAAAGGCAGGAGAUCAUGUGAUGAAUUAGAAAAAUUAGUAAUAGCUCUCUCCGCAUAGGAGGCAGGAUUAUUGCAUGGGACACUAGCUGGGAUCUUUUCUUAAUUAAGCGUUGCCAGUCAAUGAUGACACUGUUGGAUUAUUGCGGUUUGGUGGCCGCCGUCUUAAAAUAACAAGCUUGCUGUCAGAGGCAUCCAAAAAUGUAACUGCACGUUUUGGAAAGUUUGUAGGCCGGAGGCCGGAGGGGCCACUUCAAUUCCAAUUCAGCGUAAAAAAUGUAGCUGCACGUUUGGAAAGUUUUUGUAGUCCGGAUGGGCCAGUUCAAUUCCAAUUCGCGUUCCUAUCUGGUUCUUCCUCCAUUUUUUUUAAUAUAAGUACUACAUUAGUUUGUCUUAAAUCAAACAUAUAUCUUUGACCAUUGACUUUUAAAAAGUUAUAUAUAGUUUCAUAUCAUAAGAUUUAUAUUUUU
RNAcentral lists this long non-coding RNA (533 nucleotides) under Sorghum bicolor (sorghum). RNAcentral's name for it is "long non-coding RNA (SBIC_LNC012626)". Lineage: Eukaryota; Viridiplantae; Streptophyta; Magnoliopsida; Poales; Poaceae. The record is from RNAcentral.